UCGCCCUCGACAGGACCGGCACGCCUCUCCUCGAGUCCCAAACGAACAAGCUCUAGACUCCCUCGAGCAAUCAUUGUAUCUCUGUCUACAUGAUACACACCGUGGUUUGUGCCAAGACUGCAUCUUCGAUCUGUCCGUUCCAUCCAUUAAUUUUGUUGCACUUCACGGUUCACAAGAUAUUUUCCAUGGAUUUUGUAGAGGUUGCAGAAAACGAAGCAGUGAGAGCGGAUGGAUCCAUCAGUUAGAAGAUGCUUUCUUGAUAUGUUCCCUGUCAGGUGAAUUAAUGUGGUAUUUUUCAUAAUUCGAUUUGGAAAGAUUUAUCUAUAUGGUGAGAUUUGGAAGCUAUUUUUCUUUGUGCAAUACUGGGUUAUGUAAUUAAUGUGCAUGCUGAUUAAUUCACUCAUAAUUUCCUUGUGAAGUAUCUACGACAACGACUGAAUAAGAGCCAAUGGAUUAGUUAAUCCCUCAUAUUAGAUUGUCUAUUUUUUGUAGAUUUGGAGGACAUAUAUUUGCUUGAAUUAGUGUUUAUGUCUCCAAUUUUGUUGUAUGGGAAAAUGGAGAAAGAGGAGUUGCACGGUUGGGAAUUAGAAUCUUCAUUUGUGAAUUUCAGCCCAACCUAUCAAAUAACAAGGAACUUCCUUUGGUCUAAACUUAAGGUGUUUUUGUAUAUAUUCUGUAAAUUCUAAGAGUAUUCAUACAAAUGCGAUGCCAUUUAGAAAGAACAUUAUUCUAAUUGUCAUCCUAGCUAGGAAUCCAUAUCUCUGGUUUUACACAUUAUUCUGUUCCUUUAGUACAUGUCAAUUUCUGAACAUGCAUAUGAUUUUAUUCUGAAUCAGUCAAAAUAGUCUAUCUGGAUUCUGGCUUCCAUGUUGUACUCAUUGAACUGAGAGCAGCUGAAACUAUCAGAAGCUCUCCAUAGUCUUCCUGGUGCUGAUCCGCUCCACUGUGUUGAUGUGCCCAUCAGUACAGAAUCCAAGGCCUAUAUCCCCGCUGUUGUCGGUAGAGCUGCAACGACGUGCUCGCUCUGCUGCUGCUUCCGCCAACGCGUCUAGCAAGGGCAGUAAGCUGCAGGUAUAGAGAGGGACGAGGAGAUAGAGAGUGUAUCUUAACUGGACCUAAAGUCAGGAGUUUAUUUCACUUCUAACAAGAAUGGGCCAAAGACAUCACCUUGGCACUGCACGGCAUCACCCUCUGUCGUGACGCUCCUGGGUGUAUAGGUAGAGCAAGCAAAUCAAUAGGUAUGAACUUCAGUAUGCUCAGUUGGUUUCUGAAAGAGUGCCGCCUCUUAGUGUUAAGUAUGGAAUUUAGUUUUUCUCAUUACUGCACAUAAUUUACAUGUGAUAUUUUGGUGAUAAGAGUAUGCAAGUUCAUGCUUUGGGCACCUGUUUGGAUUGAGUCCCUGGUGGUUAGGAAAAGAACUCUUAAUGGUUACAUUUUCAUGCAAGUAUAGAAAUCGCAAUACAGUAUGAAUCGAUAUGUUGUGGUUUUUAGAUAUGUUGUAUUUCAAAUGUUCUUGGCAUGUUCCUUUUAGCAGUUCUGUGAUGUCACUAGCUUUAUUAGAAAUAUUUUUCACAUGCUUCGCAUUGCCAUUAAGCUGUUUAGAACAAGAUUUGCAUUGACAUCAUGUUGUUGGAAAUAUCUAUUACAAAGAACUAGAGUUUGAUUUCAAGGAAGUUAGAUGCUUUGGUAUUUAUUUUUGCGGGGUGAUGCUUUGGUAUAUUUUGUUUCUUCGAGAAAAACUUAGAAGUUAGAAAUUGAGACGACUACCAUUAUUUGAUUUGUGAUUAAAAAACGAAGGGCAUAAAAUAGAAUCAAAUAAUUCAUCAUGUGUUUGAGGUGUUGGUAAGUGACAACAGUCUGAUAUAGAUAUUUAUGUUUCUUUAUAGAAAAACUUAAAAGUAAUUUUUUUUUUAGAUUACACCGGGGUUGCACAGUGGUAGUCAACAGAAAAUACUGGACUAGCAACCCUCCGAAUUUAAUAUUCCCCAUACUUACAGGUGCAUUUUGUUAUAUUUUCAUAUGACUCAUACUCGGCAGCUUAUAUGACUUGCACACACAAGACUUUAUUAAAUAAAUAUGACUCAUAUUUGCAGGUGCGUUUUGUUCUGUUCUCAUAUGCAUUCUGGAAUGCUUGAUUCAGACUCUGCACAUGAUGCUCUCGGAGUCUGGGAAAUGGAUGUUCCUAGAGUAAUAAAAUCUUUUGAACUCAAUUAUUUCAGUUUGAUAGCUAGCUGUGCCUAGGGGUUCUCAUAUAUUAUAUUCUCUUCCAAAUAAAAUGAUUUUAGAACAGUUUCAACCUUUGGGAAUGGUCUUUGUGAUAAUACAAUAAUACCACUUGGCUAUAAGAUGCACUUCACUGUUGGGCGCAGUAUGUAGGGUAAGCUAUAGUUAUUUCGUAUACUUCACUGGUAAUUCCUAUUCCUUGCAAUCUGUGGCUCCUAUUUUUAAAAUUGUCUAUGACUACAUCAGACAAAUUUACAAAACUGGGAAUUUGGAAGGUUCAGUUUUAGUACAACUUACGUGCACUACAUUUCUUACAGAUCAUAGCAAUCUAUUUACUGAAGUCUGUUCCAGCAGAUUUGAGGUACACAUAAGCAGGCUGGGAAAGGUAGAAUGGCUGUG
Long non-coding RNA from Lolium rigidum, 2622 nucleotides. RefSeq lists it as uncharacterized. The transcript is spliced from 3 exons. NCBI's taxonomy places the organism in Eukaryota, Viridiplantae, Streptophyta, Magnoliopsida, Poales, Poaceae. The record is from RefSeq and is a predicted model, not a curated record.